UACGUAGGGCGCAAGCGUUGUCCGGAAUUAUUGGGCGUAAAGAGCUCGUAGGCGGUUUGUCGCGUCUGCUGUGAAAACCUAAGGCUCAACCUUGGGCUUGCAGUGGGUACGGGCAGACUAGAGUGCGGUAGGGGUGACUGGAAUUCCUGGUGUAGCGGUGGAAUGCGCAGAUAUCAGGAGGAACACCGAUGGCGAAGGCAGGUCACUGGGCCGCAACUGACGCUGGAGG
RNAcentral lists this ribosomal RNA (229 nucleotides) under uncultured bacterium. RNAcentral's name for it is "partial 16S ribosomal RNA". It matches the Rfam family "Bacterial small subunit ribosomal RNA", at positions 524 to 752 of the family's 1533-position model. The record is from RNAcentral.